AUGUUGAAGAAGAGUGUAGAGGAAGAUUGGAAAAACAGGAUCAAUAAGAAACAGGAAGUUAUACAGGAAGUGGAGUCUGUAAGCGAGAAAAGUAACCAAAUAGUGGAGGAGCAAGGCUUUAAUAAAAAGACCCUGGCAAGUUUAACUUCACACCGCGUCUGUUCCAGCUCAGUAGUUCUUCGGGUGAGUUUGUGGCACAGGAGUUUUUCAACCCGUCCAGAGCUGCAGACCUUGUUUGUUCCCUGCCGUUCCUGCAGGAGGAUCUGUACUCUGCCCCUCAGCCAGGUAAAAAGAAAUGCCAGAUGAGCUCUUUCAGGCUGUAAACAAUGAAUCAUAAAUAAUUAUGCGUGUUUUUCUCCCUCUCUGUGUCUAUUUGUAGCUCUGUUCCUGGUGGAUAACUAUCAUGAAGCUUACCUGUGGCAGGGCUGGUGGCCGCAGGAUACUGAGAGUACCGGUUCUGCCCUCAUCCGCUGGAACUCAGACAGGAAGUGCGCUAUGGAAACUGUGUUGCAGUACUGCAGAGGUGAUUGAAAGCCAGUCAUCCUUUCAGUCGUCCAGCAAAUCAGAAACAUGCAUUUGAAUCAGCAACUAUAUGUUGCUUCACAUACAGUUUCUGUUCCACUUAUGCUGUGAAUACAGAUAAGUGAUGCCUCUCUUUGCCUUGCAGAAAAGAAUGAGAAGAAGCCUCAGAAGUUGAUUCAUAAAAUAUUUUAGAGCUUUGCUAGAAACUUUUAUAUUUUCUUAUACAUACAGUAUUUCAAAGUUUUUACUCUUUUAAAAAAAUGUGUGUGUGUGUCUGUGUGUGUGUGUGUGUGCAGGAGGCAGAGGUGUGUAACCAGAUCAUUCUGGUGGAGGAUAUUUUGGCCCGUCUCUGUCAGAGCAUUUAUCAAAGUCAAAGUCAAAGUCACCUUUAUUUAUAUAGCGCUUUAAACAAAAUACAAUAUCAAGUCAACGAUAUCGCUGUAGAUGAAGUGACCCCAACUAAGCAAGCCAGAGGUGACAGCGGCAAGGAACCGAAACUCCAUCGGUGACCGAAUGGAGAAAAAAACCUUGGGAGAAACCAGGCUCAGUUGUGGGGCCAGUUCUCCUCUGACCAGACGAAACCAGUAGUUCAAUUCCAGGCUGCAGCAAAGUCAGAUUGUGCAGAAGAAUCAUCUGUUUCCUGUGGUCUUGUCCUGGUGGUGCUCUGAGACAAGGUCUUUACAGGGGAUCUGUAUCUGGGGCUCUAGUUGUCCUGGUCUCCGCUGUCUUUCUGGGCAGUAGAGGUCCUUUCUAGGUGCUGAUCCACCAUCUGGUCUGGAUACGUACUGAAUCUGGGUGACUGCAGUAACCCUCUGAUCUGGACUCAGACUGGAUCUGGUGGCCACGGUGACCUCAGAACAAGAGAGAAAAAGACAAAUAUUAAAAAGAAACAGACAAAUAUUAGAGAGAAACAGACAAAUAUUAUCCUCUAGAAACACUGCAAACCCGUCCUCUUCCCCACGGCGUCGACCCGCUGAAACUGGAGAUGUAUCUGACCGACGAGGACUUUGAGGUAACGACAAACACUACGAGACAGAUCACCUGUGCAUCUUGAGUUGUGAAAAUCACAUUUCUGAGUUAUUUUAAGAUUUAAAAAAUAUAUAUUUAUUUGACAAGGACAGUACAGAAUAACAUACAGAAUAGCAUUGUUGAGCACCAGAUGACAGCUUGAUGUAGAAGAAAAUGCAAAUAACCCAUUAGUAAAAAAAAAAAAAAAAAGCUUAAUGUUUAAGCUCCUAAGAUUGAUUCUGUUUAAGUCUAUUUUCUAUUACUGUAUAUUGAAUUUUCAGUUCUUUUUUCUUGUAAAUGUAAAUUGGCAAAUAGAAAUGACUGAGUAGGUUCCUUAACCCGUGAAUAGUUUCUUAAAGCAUGAUGUGACUAGAUACUAAGAAUGGAUUGUUUUGCUGUUUUAGGGUUGUAGGGAAUUCUAAAUGUGGGUAAGUAUCUCAGAUAUGGACUGAUGUCACGGGGAGAGAUACAGUAUGUUUCUAUUACACUAUUUCCUGACAGCCUCACAUUUAUGCCUUGUUUUCCUCCCUGUUUCUCGCUCACUUUGGGCUUCUCUUGUCCAGAUGAAUCCUGGAGAACUCUUUGAACAAAUCAUGCAUGCACAGUGUACACACAAACGCAGAUUUAUUUUCACAAGCUUUUUUUUCCAGUAAUACUUUACAUAUUUCUGAUAACAUUUUACUGAACACACUGUGUUAUAACUAGGCGUGACAUGAUAAGCAUGUUAUAAAUCAUAAAUCUUCCACGUUAAUGUUACACAGAUAGUGAUUUGCUGUGACAGAGUAUCCAAAGGUCACUCAUUUUCAGUGAGAUUUGGCCAUUGAAGGAGAGUAAGACACAUGGACCAAUGCACAUUGGCAAACUGCCAAUUGUGAUAAAAUUCAUACACUUGUGCUUUGUCUGUUUUUUUUUUUUCUUGAAAUCUUUCUGUGGUCGUAAUUUAGACAAUCAAAGUCAAUUUGCAUGUAAAGUCCACCAGCGGUUGGCAAACCAGUGUUCCCGUCCUAAAUUCAGACCAUUGGUUGAAUACAUUGUUCACUCUAUGAUUGGCUUGUUUAAAGUUGUCUCUGCACAUUAAAUUGUAAUAAGUGAAAGAUAUUUAACACAAUGUACAUUUCCAAUCUAGAUUUCUGCACAAGCAGCAGGAAGGGCAUGCUGAGUAGCCCUGCCCACUGUCAAUUCUGAUUGGUCCAAAGUCUCUCUCCUCUUAUCUGUACAGUAUAUGGGAGUUCUUUUUUUAUGAUUUAAACAAAAUGUGCCUAGCUAAGACACAGUGUUACUGUAAACGUUUUUUUCUCCUUCCUUUUCUGCAAAUGUAAUAUUCUGCAAUCAGAUUGUGUUUAAGUUUUUGCACAUAUACACUACCAUUCAAAACAAUAUGGUCAGCAAGUUUUUGUUUUUUAAAGGACGUUAAUACUUAUUCAGCAACGAUCUAUUAAACUGAUCAAAAGUGACUGGAGCAAUGAUGUUGAAAAAUAAUAUUUAUAUUCUUUAACAUUUAUAUUCACAUAAAAAUCUGAUAUUUUAAUAUCUGUUUUAAUAUACCAUAUUUUCCAGACUAUAAGUCAUACUUUUUUUUCAUAGUUUGGCUGGUCCUGCGACUUAUAGUCAGGUGCGACUUAUUUAUCAAAAUCUUUUUGACAUGAACCAAGAGAAAUGAACCGAGAAAACAUUACCGUCUCCAGCCGCGAGAGGGCGCUCUAUACUGCUCAGUGCUCCUGUAGUCUACACUGAAAACAUAGAGCGCCCUCUUGCGGCUGUAGAUGGUAAUGUUUUCUCUUGGUUAUUGGUUCUAAAUAAAUGCGACUUAUAGUCCAGUGCAACUUAUGUUGUUUUCCUCGUCAUGACGUAUUUUUGGACUGAUGCGACAUAUACUUAGGUGCGACUUAUAGUCCGAAAAAAUAGGGUAUGUCAUAAUAUUACUUUUUAUUAUUUUCUUUUGUUUAGUCGAAUAAAUGAAGCCUUGGUGAGCAUAAACAUAUACAUAACAUUUUGAAAGGCAGUGUGUAUGUGUAUCCUGUGUGAUUCUCUCUUUUCACUCAUUACACUAUUUUCUGUGUUCUCAGAGAGUAUUAGACAUGAAGAGAGAAGAGUUUGACGCUCUGCCUGGAUGGAAGCAAGUGAACCUAAAAAAAAGCCAAAGGACUCUUUUAAAAACCUGACUAAAGUCAUCAUGGUGACAGAAUUAACACAGUCCAUUUCCUCCAUUUUGACCUCUUUCGGGUUAAAUGAGGUGAUUGUGCAAUGAGAACAGGGUAAACGGUCAGGUCAAAGGUAACUUUAGGAUUUACAGAUGCACCUGCUGUGGCGUCCACUUUUGUCUGUGGAGAUGAUGUCUGUGUGUGUCUCCUCACCACAUUCAUGUACAUGAAAUCAAUUCUCUCCUCUUCCCAUUCGGUCUGGGUUUUUGUUGUAAUGUGUGUUUAUGUUUGAUAAGUCUGCUGAAUAAAUGAAAAUUAUAUAAACUUUGUAGCAAGCAAAGAAACAGCAGAAAAUCCUGUGUGAUCACUCUAAAUGUUGUCAUAUGUCUUAGAAUAUUCCUUUUUGAUUCAAGAGGAGUUUACAUGCUGCGUCUGUAUUUUUUGUGUGUUCUUCUCGUGUGAAUGGCUGUUGGUUGUGUUGGUGCCGGUCUCUUUUUCUUGAGGUGUGAGAGACGUCAAGUUUAUUUGUAUUUCGAACAGCAUGGACUAGUUGACGAGAGAAAGAAAAUAUAUUAAUUUAAAUGUACAGUAUAGUGCCUUGGUUUUGUGUACAGUUUCUAUACCAAACACACUGGUCUGCAUUUCAGAGACUUUCUUUGUGAUAAAUGAAAUGGUGAAUAAAUAAAGCAUAUUAAAAGUCUCUCUUUUUUUGUCUUUUUACUAAUUCUUGGGACAAAAGAAGCUACAGAAACUGAAAAUAUAUUGGUCAACACAGAGAUUUGAAACAAUACUGUCAGAUAUUCAUUAUACUGUAAAUUAGAAAUAUAUUAUAUUAAGAAAGAAUUGAGAGUAGCUAUGAUUGUUUCAAACUGAUUGAGGGACAAAGAUAUAUAUUCUAUUUAAUCAUAAAUAGUAGCUAUUUUGUCUUUCUGGCGUUAUGUCUUCAGCUGGCUCCUGGUGUCUUUACACAGACUGUUUAACGCGGUUCAGAGGUGACAGAAAUGCAUUUACACACCAAUCUAUUAUGCUUUGAUACUACGGUCUG
Molecule: long non-coding RNA, 4716 nt
Organism: Carassius auratus (goldfish)
Lineage: Eukaryota; Metazoa; Chordata; Actinopteri; Cypriniformes; Cyprinidae
Source: Ensembl